GGCCAUCCAACUAAUCUAUCACAUCUUAGAUAAAAGUUUGGUUGAUACCCUGCCUCUGUGUGUCUGUGAAGCAGUUGGGGCAGCAACCUACUUAAGUAAAUCCUCCAUGUUUGCAGAUGUUUUAUCCAUCCAUCUAAUCUGUCACCUCUUCAAUAAGAGUUUGGUUCCUACUGUGCCUCUUUCUGUGUCUGUAUUGAGGUGGGGAUAGCAACCUCGUUAACCAUUAACCUUACAAGUUUUCAGAAAAUUUUAGCCCUACCUCUAAUCUACCACCUCUUAGAUAAGAAUUUGGCUGCUAUGGUACGUUUUUGUGUGUCUGUGUUGUGGAGGGAGAAGCAACCUCAUUAACAGUUUUUUCAGUAAUGAUGGUGACGACCCGAAUUCAUCAAACAAAUGCGGGACUCAAUGCAUAAGGAAUGGAAGGAACUGGUGCUAAAAGUUCAGGAAUUUAAACUGGGGAAUAUGGAGGUGGCAGCAAAAGAAAUAUUUCUCAACUAAGAUACAUGGACAAGGAAGCACACAGUGGAUGAUGCCUGAGGAAUUUUAUGAACUAAAGAUGCUAUUAAAGACAAUACAGAGAUUGAGGAUAAUCUAACGACAAGUAAUAAGAAAAAAUGGUUUGAGAACCACCGUUACAAAUUAAGUUCCUCGAUAGUGUGCAAACUUCUCUCAGAGCUGAAAGGGUAAUUGCACACUACAUAUCUGAAUGAGCAUUAAUGUCCAACAGAAGAAACAACAUAAAAUUUAUUUUGAUAACACUUUCAAAUUGCGAUAGUGAACUAAUACAAAUGAGUAUAAAGUUCUACAAUGACAAAUGGAAAAUCAGCAAAAGGAGGAGCAAACUAAAGUUGGUCCUAGCUCUUGUGCUGAAAGCCUCACUGACAUCAUAGAUGGUUUGCCCAUUAUAUAGAAAGCUGUGCAGUCAACAAAAUUCAGCACAAAUGCGCUAGAGAAACAGAACCUUGAAUUAUGUAUAAAAGCCAGCCUUUCAUACAUGAUUCCCACUGGUACCAGAAUGACACUUGCAUCUAUGUGGAUAGUAAGAUUACAUGUUCAUUACUCUACAAGCAACCAUUUUCUUGUUGGACAACAUAUUGGCUUAAUUGAUGAUUGACUUCAACAUUGUGUAUCCACAAUGACAUUCACCCUUAAAACAGAGAGAUAAAUGACUAACAGUUUCCAAAAUACAAUAAAAGAAAAACUAUGAGUUGCUUGUUAUGUUAUUUGGGCUGUCAAAUGUACCUGGUACGUUAUGUGGAUCCAAGUCAAGUGCUAAAACUUUUUAUUUGUAAGUUUCUACCAAUGAUUUAAAACACUGCUGCCUUGGAUGCCAACAUGGUCUGCAGGUGGGGCUGCCCAGGCAUCUGCCUUAAAAUUUUGCAUCGUAUUCAAAUAUGAAGGAUGAGAUUGAUUUACAAAUUGGUGGAUGUUGCCAAGCUGGUAGUCCAACUGACUAUCUUAGUUACCUGAAGUGGGAGAGAGCGUAGGAGCGGAUAUUGGUGCAGGUGCAGGGUAGCGGAUCUCUAUUUUUUUAUUAAAGAGAAGGAAAAGAGAAAAAUAGGAGUAGGAAGCACCUAGAAAGAAGUUUCGGGGGGGAGUAUGUUGAGGAUUUCUAGGAAGAUAUGACACCUAGACAGAAGUUUCUGGCCACUAUGCAUACAGAAUCUUAUUUUGUUAUUAUGUUUGAAUUACUGGAUUUAUGCAUCAUUUUAGGCUUCUCUUUGUAUUUAUUUUCAUUUUUAAUUUACCAUUUUAGGGCCUCCUUGAUCUAUGGGUGCCUGCCUAGGGCUAGGCGGCCCCCCAGCAUGCCUACCUACCACCAACUGUCUUUAGAAUAUUGAACUACAGUAAAAUGUAACUUGGUGAUAUUGACAUUUACAGCUAGAAUCAUAUUUAGCAUCUUCAUUUGGUAAUGGAAGGUGCUAUGACUAGAAAAGUUCUGAUCACUUCAGAAGUUGCUUUGUUCUAAAUAGCUUCAUAUUUUUCAGCUAUGUCAUUUACAAAGUUUUAAGCUUAAGCUUGACAAGGCUAAGGGUAUCAUAUAUUGACUUUACCUUAUUGUAAUAAAUAGGCAAUAAGAACUUUUCUUUGAUAGGAAAUAGCAACCAUCUUGAUCAUUUUACAGUGUUAAUAACUUGUUACAUUGGAUAAAUAAAUGGAUGGUAAGUGCUUUUGAGAAUGCAAAUUCAUGCAAGUAAUGUCCUUUGAUUUCACCCAUUUCAGCCUGCGUGGUUGAUCAAGUAAAGAGACUAGAUCUGCAAGUUCCACUAAUUAGAUGAAUCAUUUUGGCUACCCCAAAAAUCCUGCAGUUGGAAACCUUUAGCUGGUCAUGAACAGAUCAGAUACCCACAUAUGCAGAGAGCACCCAAGGCUUGCUAGCAAUAGCAUUCUCUGUUGUGGUCAAAAGAAAAUAUUGAGAAUUCUCUAUGCACCAUGAGUCAGUUCCCAAGAACUUUCAUAGACAACACUACUAUGACGUAAUUUGAAAUGUACACACACAUGAGAUAAGGACAUUGAAUCGAAAGAAUAAAAUACUUGAACGAAUCAAAUAAAUGGUAGGUUGAGAUAAAUCCUCACACAUGAGAGUCACGGAAAAGGCUAGCGCACAUUCCAAAUGGCAUCUAUAGCAUGUUAGGAUGUGAUUGAUGACCAAAUUCUCCAAGAUUGUUACAAUUGGAGAUUAAAUCAAGAAAUCCACAUUGCCACUAAGCGUGCAUCUAUACUUGCUGACAAUAAUUUUCAGAAAAUGCUGUGCUUUUCCAUGUCAGUGGUCUGCGCAUGCUUGGUAGUGUGUGUGGUGAAUUACCCAUGCAUCCCCUGCAUGCUGCUGCUUGUGUGCUGCCACAUCAGUGCGCAAGGAUUCAUGCACAGGUGGUCACUUGUGGGCAUACCAACACUCCAAUAAUUUUAUGAAGAACCA
RNAcentral lists this long non-coding RNA (2920 nucleotides) under Phoenix dactylifera (date palm). RNAcentral describes it as "long non-coding RNA (PDAC_LNC005706)". The record is from RNAcentral. Lineage: Eukaryota; Viridiplantae; Streptophyta; Magnoliopsida; Arecales; Arecaceae.